UACGGGGGGAGCAAGCGUUGUUCGGAUUUACUGGGCGUAAAGGGUGCGUAGGCGGCGCGGUAAGUCGGGUGUGAAAUUUCGAGGCUUAACUUCGAAACUGCAUUCGAUACUGCCGUGCUUGAGGACUGGAGAGGAGACUGGAAUUUACGGUGUAGCGGUGAAAUGCGUAGAUAUCGUAAGGAAGACCAGUGGCGAAGGCGGGUCUCUGGACAGUUCCUGACACUGAGACACGAAGGCCAGGGGAGCAAACGGG
This 253-nucleotide ribosomal RNA is filed under the name uncultured bacterium. RNAcentral describes it as "partial 16S ribosomal RNA". It matches the Rfam family "Bacterial small subunit ribosomal RNA", at positions 524 to 776 of the family's 1533-position model. The record is from RNAcentral.